AUUUAAAUAGCUUAAUUAAGAGCAUAAUAUUGAAGAUAUUAGGGUGAUUAUUUUUAAUCUUUAGAUA
This 67-nucleotide transfer RNA is filed under the name Nectoporus subrotundus. RNAcentral's name for it is "tRNA-Phe". Lineage: Eukaryota; Metazoa; Arthropoda; Insecta; Coleoptera; Dytiscidae. The record is from RNAcentral.